GGGCCCGUGGCGCAGCCUGGAUAGCGCGGCAGCCUUCUAAGCUGAUGGUCGAGGGUUCAGGUUAAGAUUUAAAGCUUAGCCGCCCAAAAAUCCCUUCGGGCCCG
This 104-nucleotide transfer RNA is filed under the name Microcaldota archaeon. Its description in RNAcentral is "tRNA-Arg". It matches the Rfam family "tRNA". From Rfam's summary of the family: Transfer RNA (tRNA) molecules are approximately 80 nucleotides in length. Their secondary structure includes four short double-helical elements and three loops (D, anti-codon, and T loops). Further hydrogen bonds mediate the characteristic L-shaped molecular structure. tRNAs have two regions of fundamental functional importance: the anti-codon, which is responsible for specific mRNA codon recognition, and the 3' end, to which the tRNAs corresponding amino acid is attached (by aminoacyl-tRNA synthetases). tRNAs cope with the degeneracy of the genetic code in two manners: having more than one tRNA (with a specific anti-codon) for a particular amino acid; and 'wobble' base-pairing, i.e. permitting non-standard base-pairing at the 3rd anti-codon position. Lineage: Archaea; Nanobdellati; Microcaldota. The record is from RNAcentral.